AGAUGCCUCAUGUUACGAAGUUUCCGUCAGUCACAUGUCCAAUGUCAUUGACCUCAUUUUCAUGGUUCAGUGACCACUUGAAAAAAAAGUUCAGAAGUUUUGUAAUGUUGAAUUCUCUCAUAUUAUAAGUAAUAGGAUAACUAUAUUUGGUAUGUGCGUACCUUGCAAGGUCCUCAUGCCCGUCAGACAGUUUUCACUUGACCUCGACCUCAUUUCAUGGAUCAGUGAACAAGGUUAUGUUUUGGUGGUCAAGUCCAUAUCUCAGAUACUUUAAGCAAUAGGGCUAGUAUAUUUGGUGUAUGGAAGGACUGGAAGGUGUACAUGUCCAACUGGCAGGUGUCAUCUGACCUUGACCUCAUUUUCAUGGUUCAGUGGUUAUAGUUAAGUUUUUGUGUUUUGGUCUGUUUUUCUCAUACUUUAUGCAACAGGUCUACUAUAUUUGUUGUAUGGAAUGAUUGUAAGGUGUACAUGUCUAGCGGGCAGAUGUCAUCUGACCUUGACCUUAUUUUCAUGGUUCAGUGGUCAAAGUUAAGUUUUUAAGUUUUGGUCUUUUUAUCUAAUAUUAUAUGCCAAAGGUGAACUAUAUUUGGUGUAUGGAAAUAUAAUAUGAUCUAUAUGUCAGUCCCGCAG
This 630-nucleotide long non-coding RNA is filed under the name Mytilus galloprovincialis (Mediterranean mussel). Lineage: Eukaryota; Metazoa; Mollusca; Bivalvia; Mytilida; Mytilidae. The record is from RNAcentral.